RNAcentral lists this ribosomal RNA (504 nucleotides) under uncultured bacterium. Its description in RNAcentral is "partial 16S ribosomal RNA". It matches the Rfam family "Bacterial small subunit ribosomal RNA", at positions 29 to 523 of the family's 1533-position model. The record is from RNAcentral.
AUUGAACGCUGGCGGCACGCCUAACACAUGCAAGUCGAGCGGCAGCGAGAAUAGUAGCAAUACUAUUUGUCGGCGAGCGGCGGACGGGUGAGGAACACGUAGGAAUCUGCCCUUUAGCGGGGGACAACCAAGGGAAACUUUGGCUAAUACCGCGUAAUCUCGAGAGAGGAAAGCUGCCCGUAAGGGUGGCGCUGAAGGAGGAGCCUGCGUCCGAUUAGCUAGUUGGUGUGGUAAAAGCUCACCAAGGCGAUGAUCGGUAACUGGUCUGAGAGGACGACCAGUCACACUGGGACUGAGACACGGCCCAGACUCCUACGGGAGGCAGCAGUGGGGAAUAUUGGACAAUGGGGGCAACCCUGAUCCAGCGAUGCCGCGUGGGUGAAGAAGGCCUUCGGGUUGUGAAGCCCUUUAGGUUGGGAAGAAGUUUAUGCGGUGAAUAUCCGCGUAGAUUGACGGUACCGACAGAAUAAGCACCGGCAAACUCUGUGCCAGCCGCCGCGGUAA